Molecule: ribosomal RNA, 433 nt
Filed under: uncultured bacterium
Lineage: Bacteria
Description: partial 16S ribosomal RNA
Rfam family: Bacterial small subunit ribosomal RNA
Source: RNAcentral
AACGAACGCUGGCGGCAUGCCUAACACAUGCAAGUCGAACGAGACCUUCGGGUCUAGUGGCGCACGGGUGCGUAACGCGUGGGAACCUGCCCUUAGGUUCGGAAUAACUCCCCGAAAGGGGUGCUAAUACCGGAUAUUGUCUUCGGACCAAAGAUUUAUCGCCUUUGGAUGGGCCCGCGUUGGAUUAGCUAGUUGGUAGGGUAAAAGCCUACCAAGGCGACGAUCCAUAGCUGGUCUGAGAGGAUGAUCAGCCACACUGGGACUGAGACACGGCCCAGACUCCUACGGGAGGCAGCAGUGGGGAAUAUUGGACAAUGGGCGAAAGCCUGAUGCAGCAAUGCCGCGUGAGUGAUGAAGGCCUUAGGGUUGUAAAGUUCUUUUACCCGGGAUGAUAAUGACGGUACCGGGAGAAUAAGCCCCGGCUAACUUCGUG